GCAGCCGCGCCCCCAGCCGUAUUUCCGCGGGCGCUGAGCACUAGAGAGAGCGUCUUGUGGCUGCGGCCUGCCCCUCAGCCUCCUCCGCGCGGUUACCCCUGUACCCGCCGCCAUCCGUCCUGGCGCUCCGGAUGAGUCAAUGAGGGGCAGGGCCCGAGGAGUGGUCUUCCCAAGAACCCCUGGUGGCCUCCCAAGGCCGGUGCUGUGUACCUCCUCCCCGACAAAAGGGGAAACUGAGGCCCCGAGGGGAGUGGGAAGAGCCGGCUGGACGUCAGGCCCAGCCGCUGGUGCAGUGGUCCGUCCCCUCUGCCGGGGUGGGCCCCUCGGGUUUCGCGUGUCCUCGGGAAAGAGACUGGCGGGUGAGCCGCGCCCUCGGCCUUCGCUGGGCUAAGCCGACCCCAUGCAGACGUCAAACCCCCCUAGGUCGGCACAGCCUCUCUGCGGGGAGGCUUAGUGCCCCCUUGAGAAACGGCUUGGCAACGCUGUGCCCGGGGCCUUGCACGCGGGCUGAGGGGGCUAGAGACCUCGCGACUUUUACUCCCCCGACCCCGAUCUCCGACUCCUGACUUUGGAAGCCCCCAAAGCUGCUUUUCGGUUGCCUACAAAGUGUCGGUCAUUGUGCCACGUCCUUGGAACCGUGAACUCAUUUUCUCCUCAAUAACCUUUAAAAAGUAGCUGUAAAACCUCCAUUUUACAGACCAGUUGGCUGAGGUUUAAAUGGAGGACGCUCCCAGGGCCCCAGAGGGGCGAAUUCCAGACUCCUUUGCCAGGACCUUGUACUAAGCCCCUUCCCUACGCUUUUCCCUGCCUAGGCCUCGUGGGCUGUGCGGCUAUCCUGGAGACAGAUGACAGCUCUCCCUUGGAUGGCUUUGCUGGUUCCGCACCAGCCAGCGCCCCCAUUUUUCCUGCAGCACCCUGAUCUGCACUCCCUGAGGGGCUCCCACUGUCCGCGGUGUGAGGAUGUCCCUGGGUAAGUGGUGCUGGUCAUGAGCACUUUGGGGGACCCUUCAAAUUCCCUUCUGGGGGACCCCAGCGGAGGGCAUGGUCAUGAAUUCCGAGAACUGUAUGGCAAAGCCGGGUGCAGAGGAGAGCCUGGCUAAGUUCUUUCAUUCUCCUGAGCUUGACUUUCUGUAAUGUAGGGAAACUGCGAAAGCUCUGUAAGUGGGGAGAUCUUGCACGUUUUUCUUGCUUUUGAACCCAUGAUGUCUGGCUACUUGUAGAUACUCAAUAUUUGUGGGAUGAAUGAACAAUUUAAGCCUUUUUUUUUUUUAACCAGAAAUUGGUCUUCUGUGACUUUCUUGAUGGGGGCAGAUGAGAUCUUUGUACUGCAUUAAGUGGAUAGCGCUCAGGUCCUUUGGGCUUGGCGCUUUGGCAAUCUCCAGGCAGCUCACUUUGGCCUCUGUUCCUGGAUCCCCUUUGCUCUUUUCUGCGCCUGCAUUCGUAAGUGAUCACGGGCUGCCCGUGUCCUGGUCAUUGGUAGUGCAGGCAGAGGAAAUGCGGGAAAGGUUGCUGUGUUUGGAGGGUCCACAUCUUCACCCUCCUGUCCCAGGAGCUUUCCUACACUCCUCCUUCUCAAAGCUGCACACACCUGGGGCCUCCAGGGGAUUGGGGGCUGCCGUGUGUGUUAUAUCAUGAUUAGAGCUUUCACUUCCUGCUCCCUGCUGUUGGGAACCAGGCUGUGUGUGUUGCUUAAAUUCCCCUUGAUGACCAGCAGAGUCACUGCCACUCAGCCAUGGCACACUGCUGUAAACCUGGUUUUGAUCUCCUUUCAAUCUUUUGCUGAUUAACUACACAUUGAUCAGUGUUGGCCACCCUCACCCUGCCAUAGACCAUCCGCUGUCUUCCUCUGUAGAGUUAACUAUUUUCUCUUUUAUGAGGAAAUAGUGUGUUUGCUUAGGAGUGUUUACUGUCUGGUAACUACUGUGCUAAGCCCUUUCCUGUUGCCUGCCAUCCCUGCUGCGAGCAGGGACAAGCUGGGUGCUCACUCAUGGCAUCUUAUCUGUUGCAGAUAGUCCACUGUGUGCAGAGGCAUGGGAGUUGUCAUGUUGGGAACAUGCUAGACCUCAGUAUCCUUGAGCUUGAAGAAAGACGACAGAACACUGGAGACCAAGUACUUACAGCCUUCUGCUCUGUGGCCCCUCCUCACUCCAGGGAUGCUGCCUUGGGUCUGGAAACUGUUAGAGGAAACCCCAAGAGGUGCAGGCACUGAGCCUCUCAGGACAAUGACCUGGGGUCCCAGCUCCCCUGGAGGGGCCUCCUCAUGAUUGUUUGGGGGUUGAUCACAGACCAAGAGUGACGAGUGAUGUCACCCUGUGACUCAUGGCUGGACCUUCUUGCCCCUAUUGUCUCAGCACAACAUUAUUCGACUUUUCCCUCAGCGUGGGUGGGCAGAGGAAAAGCCCUGUGGCUCUGGGGACUUGGGAUCCAGAGUUGAAGACCCUUCAGCUGGCUCUGCCCUGCCAGUGCCACAGAGUGCCAUGGCCCAGGAAGACAGGUUUUCUUCCAUCUAGGCCAGGCCAUCCAGUGGCCAUCCUCCGUGUCCUCCCGCCUCCUCCUGGUGUGACUUCUGAAAACCAAGAAUUUGUUCCUGUUGACUUUUUCUGUGCUAUGGACCAUUGUCCUCUCACCCACUCAAUAAAUCUUGAAACAUGCCCUGCUGCUUGUUCUUUCA
Molecule: long non-coding RNA, 2671 nt
Organism: Homo sapiens (human)
Lineage: Eukaryota; Metazoa; Chordata; Mammalia; Primates; Hominidae
Gene: SNHG11
Product: small nucleolar RNA host gene 11
Source: Ensembl